Molecule: small nucleolar RNA, 134 nt
Organism: Varanus komodoensis (Komodo dragon)
Lineage: Eukaryota; Metazoa; Chordata; Lepidosauria; Squamata; Varanidae
Source: Ensembl
UGCCUUGUUGGUGUGGUGGUUGUGGGCACAUAACACUUUGUGCCUGAAAUAAACCGCGAGGCUACAGAAACACAGGUUAUGCUUCCAUCCUUGUACGAUAGAUUACAUUGGUGACAAUGAGACCUGUAAUAAGC